Molecule: ribosomal RNA, 1104 nt
Filed under: Phialocephala sp. M4
Lineage: Eukaryota; Fungi; Ascomycota; Leotiomycetes; Helotiales; Mollisiaceae
Description: SSU rRNA
Rfam family: Eukaryotic small subunit ribosomal RNA
Source: RNAcentral
UGUAGUCAUCUGCUUGUCUCAAAGAUUAAGCCAUGCAUGUCUAAGUAUAAGCAAUCUAUACCGUGAAACUGCGAAUGGCUCAUUAAAUCAGUUAUCGUUUAUUUGAUAGUACCUUACUACUUGGAUAACCGUGGUAAUUCUAGAGCUAAUACAUGCUAAAAACCUCGACUUCGGAAGGGGUGUAUUUAUUAGAUAAAAAACCAAUGCCCUUCGGGGCUCCUUGGUGAUUCAUAAUAACUUAACGAAUCGCAUGGCCUUGUGCCGGCGAUGGUUCAUUCAAAUUUCUGCCCUAUCAACUUUCGAUGGUAGCGUAGUGGGCUACCAUGGUUUCAACGGGUAACGGGGAAUUAGGGUUCUAUUCCGGAGAGGGAGCCUGAGAAACGGCUACCACAUCCAAGGAAGGCAGCAGGCGCGCAAAUUACCCAAUCCCGACACGGGGAGGUAGUGACAAUAAAUACUGAUACAGGGCUCUUUUGGGUCUUGUAAUUGGAAUGAGUACAAUUUAAAUCCCUUAACGAGGAACAAUUGGAGGGCAAGUCUGGUGCCAGCAGCCGCGGUAAUUCCAGCUCCAAUAGCGUAUAUUAAAGUUGUUGCAGUUAAAAAGCUCGUAGUUGAACCUUGGGCCUGGCUGGCCGGUCCGCCUCACCGCGUGCACUGGUCCGGCCGGGUCUUUCCUUCUGAGGAGCCGCAUGCCCUUCACUGGGUGUGUCGGGGAAUCAGGACUUUUACUUUGAAAAAAUUAGAGUGUUCAAAGCAGGCCUAUGCUCGAAUACAUUAGCAUGGAAUAAUAGAAUAGGACGUGUGGUUCUAUUUUGUUGGUUUCUAGGACCGCCGUAAUGAUUAAUAGGGAUAGUCGGGGGCAUCAGUAUUCAAUUGUCAGAGGUGAAAUUCUUGGAUUUAUUGAAGACUAACUACUGCGAAAGCAUUUGCCAAGGAUGUUUUCAUUAAUCAGUGAACGAAAGUUAGGGGAUCGAAGACGAUCAGAUACCGUCGUAGUCUUAACCAUAAACUAUGCCGACUAGGGAUCGGGCGAUGUUAUCUUUUUGACUCGCUCGGCACCUUACGAGAAAUCAAAGUCUUUGGGUCUGGGGGAGUAGGCGCAUG